Molecule: long non-coding RNA, 247 nt
Filed under: Elaeis guineensis (African oil palm)
Lineage: Eukaryota; Viridiplantae; Streptophyta; Magnoliopsida; Arecales; Arecaceae
Description: long non-coding RNA (EGUI_LNC053832)
Source: RNAcentral
CAAGCAGUAGUACCAUCUCAAGUCAAAGGAUCAGUCACACAACUACAGUAUCGAGACAAUCACUAAUAAUUGAAUAAAAAUCCAAAUGAUCUCUCGUAUGAUCACGCUCAGUGCUAGUUGUUCUCUAACAACCAUCUGCACUCAUCGUCUUAUAUCUCUACACAAUAGAUUAGAGAUCUAUCUAUCCUAAAAGAAGUGAUUUGUACGUCAAUCUUUUCGAAUCUGUCACCAUCCUCAUGAUGAUCCU